RNAcentral lists this ribosomal RNA (406 nucleotides) under uncultured bacterium. RNAcentral describes it as "partial 16S ribosomal RNA". It matches the Rfam family "Bacterial small subunit ribosomal RNA", at positions 28 to 526 of the family's 1533-position model. The record is from RNAcentral.
GACGAACGCUGGCGGCGUGCCUAAUACAUGCAAGUAGAACGAGUUGCGAACGGGUGAGUAACGCGUGGUAACCUGCCUCAUAGCGGGGGAUAACUAUUGGAAACGAUAGCUAAUACCGCAUACUGUGAGAUGGACCUGCGUUGUAUUAGCUAGUAGGUGGGGUAAUGGCUCACCUAGGCGACGAUCCCUAGCUGGUCUGAGAGGCUGACCAGCCAAACUGAAACUUAGCCACGUUCCAGACUCCUACGUGAGGCAGCAGUGGGAAAUAUGGCACCAUGGGCGCAAGCCUAAUGCAGCCAUGCCGCGUGUAUGAAGAAGGCCUUCGGAUUGUAAAGUACUUUCAGCGAGGAGGCGUUACUCGCAGAAGAAGCACCGGCUAACUCCGUGCCAGCAGCCGCGGUAAUAC